Dromaius novaehollandiae (emu) is the source of this 1468-nucleotide long non-coding RNA. RefSeq lists it as uncharacterized. The record is from RefSeq and is a predicted model, not a curated record. The transcript has 11 exons. Lineage: Eukaryota; Metazoa; Chordata; Aves; Casuariiformes; Dromaiidae.
UGGUAGAGGAAAUAUUUUUAUCUGAGCCUCAGGAAAUGGUGGUCUGGCUAAAGACUGCGGUGGUGUGGAUGGUUAUGUGAAGAGCAUUUACACAGGGGCAAAGGAUGCCAUCAUUUACCUCUGCCCCACAGCUUCUGGGCUACAAGAACUACUCAGCAUCAGUGGCCACCUAGACAUAUCCAGUGAGGAAGGAGUGUGGAGGCCACUAUCUUGAAGCAGACCUUCAAAUGUGGAGUGAGUAUAGCUGCGCUAUGGAGUAAUCUGCUGAGAAUUUACCGCCCUUUUGGAGAAUACUCCUGGUUUCAUGUGAUGCACUGCUGGAUCUGCUUUUCACAACCAAUGAAGAACUGGGUGAGGAUGUGAUAAUAAACAGCAGCCUUGACUGUAGCGACCAUGAAAUAGUGGGGCCCAAGAUUCUGAGGAGAGCAAGGGAAGAGAGUAGCAGAAAAUAGACCCUGUACUUCAGGAAAGCAGAUUUCACCUUAUUCAAGGAACUGGUAGGUGGCAUCUCAUAGGAGACACCUCUGAAGGAUGAAGGAGCUCAGGAAAGCUGAUUUGGAUUUGGCUUGCUUGAUGCUGGACGAUUAAUGAAGGAAGCCCUAACUGGACAAAUGUUGGUCUCCUGAGACAAUGUGUUGUUGAUAACAGAGAACAAGCUUGUUAACUGUGAAUGUGAAGAGAUGAAGCAAGCAAAAACAGAAGUGUGAAGAGCUUUGCUGCCACUGUUGACUAUAUCAGCCCACUCUGCUCCCAAUUUAGGAUCCAUGAGUGAAUAGAUAGAGCCGUUCCUGCAAGUGGUCCUGUGACUCGGAAGCUGACAACAGCUGCAUGCAAAGGAACAAAGAAUGAGAGUGACAAUUCAGAGUGCAAGCAGAAAUGCAAGCCUGCCAGUAGGAUUUAAAAGUUUGAUGGCUCUUUUCCCCUGGAAUUUCAGGGAUGCAAUCUCAAUGUAAAUAAGAAUCAGACCUUGGAAUCUGGAGUGAUCUGGGCAAAUUAGUCUGUGGAAUGGAAGAGUGAUCAUAUACCAUAUCCACUAUAUCUUUCUGAAAAAUUGGAUCACUGAUCUUAGCCUUUUCUUAUGGCCAAAACGGCAUUCAACAUAUGACUGCAAAUGCUUCUUUUCAACUCCAGAUAACGGCUCAUUGGUAUGUGACUGCAAUGAGAUAGUUGCAAGAUGGGGCAAGGGAUUGACACAGUGUGAGUGUGCAGGGGACCCCAGUCACUGACGCUCCAGGACAGAAGAUUCUGAGAGUCAGACCCACACUGUUCCCGUUCACGAUGACACCCUGGCAUCUGAAGAACAACAUGACACCCACCACAAAAUGCUGCUGUUGGCUGGCGCUGUCUAAAGCGGUGAGGUUUCGCGAGGGAGGUGAGGCUGCCAAAGGAACGCAAGUGGGGGUGUUACAGUGAGUGGGACUGGGCGAUCAGCCGUGACUCUGAUCUACGGGACCUGUAGAAAACUCAA